CAGCCGCCGCGGUAAUACGGAGGGUGCAAGCGUUAAUCGGAAUUACUGGGCGUAAAGCGUGCGUAGGCGGUUCGUUAAGUCUGUUGUGAAAGCCCCGGGCUCAACCUGGGAAUGGCAAUGGAUACUGGCGAGCUAGAGUGUGUCAGAGGAUGAUGGAAUUCCCGGUGUAGCGGUGAAAUGCGUAGAGAUCGGGAGGAACAUCAGUGGCGAAGGCGGCCAUCUGGGACAACACUGACGCUGAGGCACGAAAGCGUGGGGAGCAAACAGGAUUAGAUACCCCCGUAGUCCCUGUCUCUUAUAC
RNAcentral lists this ribosomal RNA (301 nucleotides) under uncultured bacterium. Its description in RNAcentral is "partial 16S ribosomal RNA". It matches the Rfam family "Bacterial small subunit ribosomal RNA", at positions 509 to 807 of the family's 1533-position model. The record is from RNAcentral.